AUACGGAGGAUCCGAGCGUUAUCCGGAUUUAUUGGGUUUAAAGGGAGCGUAGGUGGACAGUUAAGUCAGUUGUGAAAGUUUGCGGCUCAACCGUAAAAUUGCAGUUGAUACUGGUUGUCUUGAGUACAGUAGAGGUGGGCGGAAUUCGUGGUGUAGCGGUGAAAUGCUUAGAUAUCACGAAGAACUCCGAUUGCGAAGGCAGCUCACUGGACUGCAACUGACACUGAUGCUCGAAAGUGUGGGUAUCAAACAGGAUUAGAUACCCUGGUAGUCCACACAGUAAACGAUGAAUACUCGCUGUUUGCGAUAUACAGUAAGCGGCCAAGCGAAAGCAUUAAGUAUUCCACCUGGGGAGUACGCCGGCAACGGUGAAACUCAAAUGAAUUGGCGGGG
RNAcentral lists this ribosomal RNA (393 nucleotides) under uncultured bacterium. RNAcentral describes it as "partial 16S ribosomal RNA". It matches the Rfam family "Bacterial small subunit ribosomal RNA", at positions 523 to 918 of the family's 1533-position model. The record is from RNAcentral.